GCUUGGCAGCGGUAGCUUUUGGCUUGACAGUUGCAACCGGCUUAGACUUGACAGGAGCAGCAGCUUUGGGCUUUGGAGCAGCAGCCUUCGGCUUUGCAGCAGGUUUCGGCUUAGGCUUUGGCUUUGCUGCAGCAGCCUUUGGCUUCGCCGGAGCUUUGCUUGCUGGCUUAGUCGUUUUGCCUCCCUUAGGCUUCGCAGCAGCUUUAGCCUUGGGCUUGGCGGCGGCCACUGGCUUCUUCUUCACCGGAGAAGCAGGCUUAGGUGCCGCGGCGGACCUAGCAGAAGGAAGCUUGAAUGAACUUUUGACCUUGACGAGCUUAUCGGAAGAAACAAGCUUCUUCAAAUGGUAAAGUAGAAGCUUCUUGAAGUUUGGAGGGAGUUGCUUGUGCUUUUCUUCAAUGAACUUGGUGAUCGCAUACUGGCUCGAACCAGUUCUCUCUUUCAAAGUCACAAUCGCAUCCUUAACCAUCU
Molecule: long non-coding RNA, 471 nt
Filed under: Prunus persica (peach)
Lineage: Eukaryota; Viridiplantae; Streptophyta; Magnoliopsida; Rosales; Rosaceae
Description: long non-coding RNA (PPER_LNC008495)
Source: RNAcentral